GAAAUACGAUUUGCAACAGUGGAUCAAACUAUUGGUCCAUCUAGUAUCCUGUCUCUGGCAGUGGCCAUUACCUGAUGCUUCAAAGGGAGGUACAACUUCCACUUCUGACAUUGGGAUGCCGCUACAGAGCUCCAUGUCAGGCCGGAGAUGGCUGAGAAGGAACUGAGGGGGUUGGGCCGUGCGUGUGAUAGAUGAGGCGCCAAUGGUGCUGCAAGACAACCACUGUGCAUGCGCAACCCAGACGGACGCUGCUGCUGACAUUCUCCGAUCAAUGGCACAGGGGCGCACCAACACCUGAAGUGGAGCAUCCACAGGGGGACACAUCUCGAGGAACCUCAAUUACUAUACCAGGCCUUCCAAGGUGUUGCUGUGAAGAGAAGAGCUUGAGUCUGUUGUCGUUGCUGGCCUGGUACUAUUGGGAUCAUCGGCGGCUGCAAUCUGGGGCUGAAAUGGAUGGUUAGUGAAUGGGCGCCUCGAAGUAGGAAAGGGAGAGUGCAGUGCUGUCUUUAGGCCCACCGCUCGGAAGGUGGCUUGGACCAAGUUGAUGCUGUUCUUUACUUGAGCCUCUGAACGACCCUUGAUCAGCCAGUAAGUGAGAGGCAGAGCCAAGAAGCACGGCAACUGUUGAGGCCUGAAGUGCUUCCUCAAAGUGGACAGAGCAAGAGGCCCAGGGACCUGAGGGUAGCCCUUGAGUCCUUCAGGCUGUGUAGUCUCGCGUCCGUCUGCUCUGAAAAUAGUGAGGAGCCUUCAAAAGGGAGGUCCUAGAUAGACUGCUGGAUCUCCUGAGUGAGUCCCGAUGACUGCAGCCAGGAGCAUCAUCUCAUGGUGACAAUGGAGGCCAUUGUCCUGGCUGCCGUGUCUGCUGCAUCCAGUGCCCCCGGAGAGAGGCUCUGGCAACAUUCUUUCCUUUUUCUAAGAUGGCUGAAAAUUCCUGCCAUAAGUCUUAAGACAUGGAGUCCUUAAAUUUGGACAGAGUGUCCCCACAAAUUGUAGUCGUAUCUCCACAGUAAGGCUUGCUGGUUUGAGAUACAUAGUUGUAGACCACCUGUCAAAUAAACUUUCCUCCCAAACAGA
This is a long non-coding RNA of Dermochelys coriacea (leatherback sea turtle), 1074 nucleotides long. RefSeq lists it as uncharacterized. The transcript has 5 exons. The record is from RefSeq and is a predicted model, not a curated record. NCBI's taxonomy places the organism in Eukaryota, Metazoa, Chordata, Testudines, Dermochelyidae.